UGGGGAGUGGCUCAGUGGUAAAGCACUUGCCUAGAAUGCAAGAGGCCCUGGGUUCUAUCACCAGUGCUGUAA
This is a non-coding RNA of Ictidomys tridecemlineatus (thirteen-lined ground squirrel), 72 nucleotides long. Lineage: Eukaryota; Metazoa; Chordata; Mammalia; Rodentia; Sciuridae. The record is from Rfam.